CUCACUAUUGGGAUAAACCGUAAUCGUACCCCUUCCUAACUGCCAAAGUGUCAUGGCCGCCGUCGGGACCUAUUGUGCUGACAUUUACAAUGUUUACAUAUAGAAAAGUUUGUUUUUUUCUGCUUAUAAUGCCGUUUUCUAAAGAUAUUAGUGAACAAAAUCGAUUUGCUAACAAUAUUUAAUAUAUUUUAAAUGUGCUAAAAUUGGAUUCAACAGCAAAAGUCGCAUAAAUAACAUAUAAAUGACGAAUUUGUUUACCUAUUACAAAUGGGGUUAUGUGGUUGUAACUGUUUAUUUUGGGAAUAAAAUGAAAAUGAUCAAUUAAACGACUGGAAAACUAUAGUGAAGUGAAGAACAUCUUGAAGUUCCAAUAAUGUUUCAAGAUGAGAUAAAUCGAAAUAAUGGUUGUAUGUUAGAAGGACAGAGAAUACGAAGAAAUGUUAUUGCUGCAUACUUAGUGUAGUGAAAUACAAACUUCAAACAUUAUAAUAUAUUUUUUUAUUUCAAACAUUUCAUAUGAUUAUGAAAGAACAUCUUCCUCUUUAAAACAAUGAAGAAGUGAAGAACAUAAUAAAGUUCCAACGAAAAUGAUUCCAGAUGAGGAAAAUCGAAAUAAUGGUUGUAUGUUACGUGUAUAGAGAAUACGAAGAAAUGUUAUUGCUGCAAACUUAGUGUAGUGAAUUAAAAACUUACUGUCAAAUACAAAUCAAUUUAUUUAAUACUUUUAUAAUAUAUAGUGGUACAAUUUUAUAUGUGUUCAAAUAAAAAUAUUAAUAAAUAAAAUACAAUAAACACAAAUCAUGUAUAUCUUACAAUGAAUUACAAAAUCAAAAAUUAAUUACAAAAAUAUCAAAAUAAAUCUAAAAUAUUAAAAAGUAACCCAUAAUUUUUAUAGUACCUACAUACUUUGGUUGGUACUCUAAUAAUUUGGAAAUCCAUUAAAGUUUGUAGAUGGAAAUUGCAGGUAUCUAAAAAAUAUAUAAAGUAACUCAACAAUCUCUUUUCAAUUAGGGUUGCAGUUGAUAAAGAUGAAUGACCCUUGCUCGGGAAAUCAAAUGUAUCUAAAAAAAAUUAAGUAACAGCUUUCUAACAAAACAAUCUUAGCACUAAACGGAAACAAAGAUACUGGUAAGUAUUAAAACAUUUUUUGAAAAAUCUUUCUGAAAGUGAAAAUAAAGACUACUCUCUAUGGGAACAACUAAAACUGGGUAUGCUUUACAAAAAAAUGUAUCCAGAACAAACUUCUUCUCUAUAAGGCAAUACUACUACAAGUCUGGAUGUACAGGAUUUAAUUCUGGGGAACUGCCAGUAACACAUAAUAUGCAAAGACUACAAAGAUUCCAAUCCAAAGUCUUUCAUGAUGUCCGAUUUUUUUAGUACCACUACCAAAUAUCACGCUAAACUUAAAAUUCUUACAAUGAAGAUAGCUAAAGCUUGAGUACACAUAGAUAGAUCCAACCAAAUAAAUAAAAACAAUUAAUGUAUGUAAAAUGUAUGUUAGUCUUCUUCCACUUGCAGAAGAUAUUUUCAGUUGUUUGUGCCACUGUGAACUUAAGAUCUCUAAUAUUAACCGAUGAUAAAUUUAUGAAAACUGAUUUUAAAUAUUAAAAACUUUCAGAGAUAUUUCAAUUUUCGAAACAUCUUAUAAAAGAGUGAAAAAUAUUCAGAGACACCUUACAGCCAUAAACCAGUAAAACUAAAAUAUUUAAUGUUUUUGUAUAAAUUAAUAUUAAUAUUUAUGAACUUUUUAAAUAUAUCUUUAAAAAUUUUAUGAUAAAUAAAAUGUUUUUGAGUAAAGGCAAUAUUUUUUUUUGUAUGGUAAUAGAAAAGAUUAAUAUUUGAAAUCAUAUACAGCAUCACAUUUUAUAAAUUAUAAUCUUUUUAUUAUAAAAAUAGUAAUACCGUGUGUCUACGGAUGGGGUGCCCAAGAGGAAAAACUUUUUUAUUUUCAAUUUUAGCGAAAAAUGUCAUUCUUGAUAAAAACUUUUGCUUGUUCUAAAACCCCAUAAAAUGAACUAAAAUUCAAGUUUUUCAAAUCCUGCUUAUUUUUUUAGCCAAUUUUAUGUAAAUCCCUAUAAAUUUUUGCACUAAGUUCGAAAUUGUAACAAUAAUAACUUGGGAGAACAACCCUUUCACUUCUCUGGAUUACGAAGCCAGACUUUGUCGUUCUCCUUGAAUCAUCCAAUUAUUUAUUAAUUAAAUAAUUAUUAAUACAACAAUUUUAAUAAUGAAAUUUAUCACUAGAUAAAUUCUUUAUUGAUAGCUUAACAUUGUCAAAAAAAUUGACAAUUCGCAAAUGAUUUAUCGAAGUUGAUAGUUACUAAGCUACAUUGUGGCUUGGCAACACUAGAUUAUUGUUAAGAUUUCAAACUUAGUGCAAAAAUUUACAUAAAAUAGGGAUUUACAUAAAAUUGGCUACAAAAUUAAGCAGGAUUUAAAAAACUUGAAUUUUAUUUCGUUUUAUGGGGUUUUAGAACAAGCAAAACUUUUUAUCAAUAAUGACAUUUUUCGCUAAAAUUGAAAAUAAAAAAGUUUUUCCUCUUGGGCACCCCAACCGUGGACACACUGUAUAUAAUUAUAAUACUAAAAUCACAAUAAAGAUGCACUAGAAAGAAACAAACACAAGACAUGAUGAAUGUUAUGAGGAGCACUCACAAAUCAUGAUUUACAAAGUUUAUACAUUGUAAAUCAUGAUAUAUUUGUAUCAUUCAACAUGUCUUGGGUUGUUUAUUUCUGGUGCAUCUUUAUUGUGAGUUUAGUAUAAGAGAAUUACAAGUUUUAUGUUAAAUCUUCUGAAUCAAAUUUUUGUUAGGUAUCAUGUCACUCUUACUAAUUUUAUCCCAUAAACACUUUGAAAUAAUACAUUUUUUAGUUCCAUGACUGUUAUCAAUUGUUGGAUAUCAUAUUGGCUACCAUAUUCACUAUUGUGGCUUUAUUGACAGCAGCUCUAACUAAUGAUGAUGGAGUCGAUUUUCCAUACUAUGGUCUUAGAUUGUUCAGCUAUGAUUGUGAGAUUCUACCAGAACCACAUUUACCUUGGAUCUUUCUCUGAAUUAUCAAAUGCAAAAGUUCAUAUUUUUUAGGGUGUUUCAUACCUAAGUAUUAUUGACCUAAGUAUUCCAGCUUGUGUCUCUUUAGUCAAAUGGAAAUUAUUAUAUGAAACUCUACAAGAACACAUUCAUAUUAUAAUCAAUUAAGUAUAUUAAUUUUAAUCACAAAUGUUUAUUGGUUGAGAGAGUGACUUUUUUACUUAUGCUCAAUCAAAUAUUUUUACUAUUUUCUGUUAGUUUUUUAAUAGUUAUUUAUGAUAUAAGUGUUAAAAGUACACAUUUAAGGCACGCAUGUGAAAGUCUGCAAUUCACAUGAGUGCCUUAAAAAUGUACUUUUUAACACACAUAUCAUACAAUAUUUUUUCUGUAAACGUAAUUACAGAGUAAUAUCUACAAAAACUUUUUUCUACAGCCGUGUUAAAAAUUCAAUUUUUAGCACUCCAUAAGAGCAUUAAAAAUGCUACUUUAAGGCACAAGUGCUUUAAAAUUUUUAUGGCACUGCAAUUCGUAUUGACCGUAUAGACAAUUUUGAUGUAAUGUCACAAAAAUAUAAAAAUGGAAUGUCAGUCAAGUUCAAGUAAAAGUUUUUGUAGAUAUUGUCCUGUAAUUACGUUUGUAGAAAAAAUAUUGUAUGAUAUGCGUGUUAAAAAGUACAUUUUUAAGGCACUCAUGUGAAUUGCAGAACUCGCACUCAAUUUUUAGCACUCCAUAAGAGCAUUAAAAAUGCUACUUUAAGGCACAAGUGCUUUAAAAUUUUUAUGGCACUGCAAUUCGUAUUGACCGUAUAGACAAUUUUGAUGUAAUGUCACAAAAAUAUAAAAAUGGAAUGUCAGUCAAGUUCAAGUAAAAGUUUUUGUAGAUAUUGUCCUGUAAUUACGUUUGUAGAAAAAAUAUUGUAUGAUAUGCGUGUUAAAAAGUACAUUUUUAAGGCACUCAUGUGAAUUGCAGAACUCGCUAUCGCUCAUUCUGCAAACUUUCACAUGCGUGCCUUAAAUGUGUACUUUUAACACUUAUAUCAUAAAUAACUAUUACUUGAACUGACAUUCCAUUUUUAUAUUUUUUUGACAUUACAUCAAAAUUGCCUAUACAGUCAAUACGAACUGCAGUGCCAUAAAAUUUUUAAAGCACUAGUGCCUUAAGGUAGCGUUUUUAACGCUUGUAUAGAGUGCUGAAAGUUGCAUUUUUAACACGGUUGUAGAAAAAAUAAAUUUUAUGUAUAUUUUAUCUAAAAAAGUAUUUAAGCACUUAAAUAUUUUUUCAAAAAUAGAAUAUUUUUAUGAACUUCUUUAAUUCUUUUUUAUUUUAACUUUAAUGCAAUCUGUUAUCAUUAUAACAAUAUGACAGAUAUAAAAAAUGACACAGUGGGAACUACACUCAGGGGUGAGAACUCUUUACAUAUUUAUAUUAAUUUAGUCUACAUUACCAUAUUUCUGACUUUUUUACAAAUUAGUAACUACUAUCUACUUUCCAGUGGUGUAGAGAUCUGUAACUUUUCUUAACCCUCUAGUACCCUAGUUUGCCUCAAGGCGGACCAUAAUAAAAAUUUCCAUGCUUACUAUUUAAGUAUUUUAUAGCUGCAAUACCGAAACCAGCCUCUGGACUAGAUCAGAUAAGCAUCCAGCUUUUAAAAGUUUGGGUGAUCAGACAGAUUUUUACCCUAUAAUUUUCAGUUUAGCAUGAUAUUUGGUAGUGGUACUAAAAACAUCGGACAUCAUAAAAGACUUCGGAUUAGAAUCUUAAUAGUUUUUGCAUAUUAUGUGUUACUGGCAGUUCCCCAGAAUUAAAUCCUGUACAUCCAGACUUGUCGUAGUAUUGCCUUAUAGAGAAGAAGUUUGUUCUGGAUACAUUUUUUUGUAAAGCAUGCCCAGUUUUAGUUGUUCCCAUAGAGAGUAGUCUUUAUUUUCACUUUCAGAAAGAUUUUUCAAAAAAUGUUUUAAUACUUACCAGUAUCUUUGUUUCCGUUUAGUGCUAAGAUUGUUUUGUUAGAAAGCUGUUACUUAAUUUUUUUUUAGAUACAUUUGAUUUCCCGAGCAAGGGUCAUCUUUAUCAACUGCUACCCUAAUUAAAAAGAGAUUGUUGAGUUACUUUAUAUUAUUAUAUUUUUUAGAUACCUGCAAUUUCCAUCUACAAACUUUAAUGGAUCUCCAAAUUAUUAGAGUACCAACCAAAGUAUGUAGGUACUAUAAAAAUUAUAUGUAACUUUUUAAUAUUUUAGAUUUAUUUUGAUAUUUUUGUAAUUAAUUUUUGAUUUUGUAAUUCAUUGUAAGAUAUACAUGAUUUGUGUUUAUUGUAUUUUAUUUAUUAAUAUUUUUAUUUGAACACAUAUAAAAUUAUAUCACUAUAUAUUAUAAAAGUAUGAAAUAAAUUGAUUUGUAUUUGACAAUAA
Molecule: long non-coding RNA, 5436 nt
Filed under: Diabrotica virgifera virgifera (western corn rootworm)
Lineage: Eukaryota; Metazoa; Arthropoda; Insecta; Coleoptera; Chrysomelidae
Description: uncharacterized LOC126881783
Source: RNAcentral